UGGACGGUACAACGAGUCGCAAACUCGCGAGAGUAAGCUAAUCUCUUAAAGCCGUUCUCAGUUCGGACUGUAGGCUGCAACUCGCCUACACGAAGUCGGAAUCGCUAGUAAUCGCGGAUCAGCAUGCCGCGGUGAAUACGUUCCCGGGCCUUGUACACACCGCCCGUCAAGCCAUGGGAGCCGGGGGCGCCUGAAGUCCGGGACCGCGAGGACCGGCCUAGGGCGAAACUGGUAACUGGGGCUAAGUCGUAACAAGGUAAC
RNAcentral lists this ribosomal RNA (261 nucleotides) under uncultured bacterium. Its description in RNAcentral is "partial 16S ribosomal RNA". It matches the Rfam family "Bacterial small subunit ribosomal RNA", at positions 1231 to 1500 of the family's 1533-position model. The record is from RNAcentral.